This 589-nucleotide ribosomal RNA is filed under the name uncultured eukaryote. Its description in RNAcentral is "SSU rRNA". It matches the Rfam family "Eukaryotic small subunit ribosomal RNA", at positions 586 to 1187 of the family's 1831-position model. The record is from RNAcentral.
UCCAGCUCCAAUAGCGUAUAUUAAAGUUGUUGCAGUUAAAAAGCUCGUAGUUGGAUUUCGGAAGGUCCUUAGCAAUCCGCCCCUUCGGGGAGCGGGUUGCUGGCCUCCUAUGUUCCUAACGGUCCUCAUCCGCGAGGGUGGGGAAUCAACCGCUAGGAUCGUUUACUUUGAGGAAAUUAGAGUGUUCAAAGCAGGCGUAACUCGCCUCCGAAUACGUUAGCAUGGGAUAAUGGAAUACGACUUCGGUCUUGUUUCGUUGGUUUCGCUUGGCUGAAGUAAUGAUUGAUAGGGACAGUUGGGGGCAUUAGUAUUUAGUUGUCAGAGGUGAAAUUCUAGGAUUUACUAAAGACUGACCAAUGCGAAAGCAUUUGCCAAGGAUGUUUUCAUUAAUCAAGAACGAAAGUAGGGGGAUCGAAGACGAUCAGAUACCGUCGUAGUCUCUACCGUAAACUAUGCCGACCAGGGAUCCGGAGAGUUUGCAUGGAUGACUCCCCGGGCACCUUGUGAGAAAUCAUAAGUGUUUGGGUUUUGGGGGGAGUAUGGUCGCAAGGCUGAAACUAAAGGAAUGACGGCACGWCCCCCMCARGGU